GCCUUCGUAGUGUAAUUGGAAGCAUACCCGACGCAUAUUCGAGAGGCCCAGGGUUCGAGUCCCUGCGAGGGCA
This 73-nucleotide transfer RNA is filed under the name Stegodyphus dumicola. RNAcentral's name for it is "tRNA-Met". It matches the Rfam family "tRNA". Rfam says of the family: Transfer RNA (tRNA) molecules are approximately 80 nucleotides in length. Their secondary structure includes four short double-helical elements and three loops (D, anti-codon, and T loops). Lineage: Eukaryota; Metazoa; Arthropoda; Arachnida; Araneae; Eresidae. The record is from RNAcentral.